Molecule: long non-coding RNA, 1876 nt
Organism: Callithrix jacchus (white-tufted-ear marmoset)
Lineage: Eukaryota; Metazoa; Chordata; Mammalia; Primates; Cebidae
Source: Ensembl
GCCGUCUUUUUUUUUUUUUUUUUCAAACAAAUGUGUUAUUGCUCAACAACAAAGGGUCUGACAAGAUCCCACAGAGCUUAUACUACAAAGCUACAUAAAAGCGGCAAAUGAUGAAUGGUAAGUGCAUUCUGACUUGAUUCGGUUUAAAGAGAUCACUUCCAAGAAACACUUGGGAUCAGUACUUGUGGUAUAAGAGAUGUGUCCUGACAGCUGGGGUUUAUUGGAACAAGUGGAGCUUUGUUCUCUUUUAUGUCCAUUUAUUCCCAUGCAUUUGUCAUCCAAAACUGCUCAUGCAGAGGGCAAAGCAGAAGAUUACACACUGGAGCACCAGCAAAGAGGUAAGAGAUUCUCUCCAACUAAUGCUGAGGAGGAGGGAUUAGCUGUCAGUUCUAUUUUUAGUGGUUGCUGCUGUGAUGAUUUCUAGGGUGCCUUGUCCAGCCUGUCCCUAAUAAUGAAUUCACAUCUGGGCAUUUCCAUAGUUCGGUUGUUUGUUCCCACCAAAUCUCAUGUUGAAAUUUGAUACCCAAUGUUGGAGGUGGGACCUAGUGGGAGGUGCUUGAGUCAUGGGGCAGAUCCCUCAUAAGUGGCUUGUACAGUCCUCGUGGUAACGAGUGAGUUCUUAUUCUGUUAGUUCCUGGGAGAGCUGGUUGUUAGUACCACCUUCCCCCCACCCUUGCUUCCUCUCUUGUCACAUGAUCUCUGCACAUAACAGCUCUCCUUCACCUUUCGUCAUGAGUAGAAGCAGCCUGGGCCCCUCACCAGAAGCAGAUGCCAGCCCCAUGCUUCUUGUACAGCCUGCAGAACACUGGAUGUCCGUGAAGUUGUGUUUGAAGAAUGGUGGAGCCUCCAUAAGCAAGAUCUUUGAUGAUUACAUGGAACUCAACUUAUCCAACCCUCUACCCCUGCCUAUUCAAAUUUGCAUAAAGAAAAUAUAAUUGUCUAUAAUAUCAGACCCCUGAAAUUUGGGCAGGGAAGUGGGGGAGGUCUGUUACAGCAGUUAGCCUACCCUGACUCAUACAGCAUUCAAGAGCCCAUAGAAAGAGCAAACGAUGCUCUCUGAAUGCACCUACUCUUGCAGCAUUUCUGACCAUCUUUUUUGUAAUGUUCCCCUCUACUUGAUUCCAACAACUGGUGUUGAGCUGGGGAAUGAUGGGGAGAAGCAUGUCAGGUUGUUACAUACUAGCUUGUCAAUAUGACUUUGGAAAAGAGAAUGUGAAGAUGGCAAAGAAUACACAUUCCUGAGGACAGAAAUGCUAUCCCAACCAACAAAUCCUUGAGGGGUCUGUUCCCUAAAACAGUCAUUCUACUAGGUGCUGGGAAUACUAAGGUAUGAAACUUCAUCUCCACCUUAGAAUGAAAACAAAAACAAACAAAAAGAUACAAUUCUUUUCCUCUAACUUACAAACGAGUUGGGGAAACACAACUUAAAAAACAGUGGGCUAAUCAAAGAGGACAAACUUUACAGUCAGCAGAACUGGGUUGCAAUAACAAAUAUGGCACUUAAAUAGUAAAUAGAUGGACAACUAUUUCAUCACAUUGUCCUCAGUUUCCUUAGGCACCUGAUAAACAGGUUUAAGUUUUUUAACAUUUUAUUUUGAAAUAAUUUUUAGCUUAAAGAAGAGUUGGAAGAGUUCCCAUCAUUCCUUCUCCUAUCUUCCCGUAAUGUUAACAAUUUUACCUAGUUUGUUUUUAUUUUACAGAAUUGUUUUGACUACUCUGGUUUCUUUACUUCUCCAAAUAAAUUUCAGAAUCAACUUGUUGUUUCUGCAAAGAAGCAUAUAGUUGGGUCUUGUUUUUUACCCAGUCUGACAAUGUUUUUCAAUUAGUGUUCAGAUCAUUAAUGUGUAAAAUGCAUUAAAAUCACCUUCUUACUGGC